Molecule: ribosomal RNA, 403 nt
Filed under: uncultured bacterium
Lineage: Bacteria
Description: partial 16S ribosomal RNA
Rfam family: Bacterial small subunit ribosomal RNA
Source: RNAcentral
GACGAACGCUGGCGGCGUGCCUAAUACAUGCAAGUCGAACGCAGUGGGGACGGGUGAGUAACAGGUGGGUCACCUCCCAUCAGAGGGGAUAACACUUGGAAACAGGUGCUAAACCGAUACUGAUGGAUGGACCCGCGGUGAAUUGUCUAGUUGGUGUGGUAGCGGCUCACCAGGGCCACGAUGCAUAGCCGGCCUGAGAGGGUGAGCGGCCACACUGGUACGUAGCCACGGCCCAACCUCCGACGGGAGGCAGCAGUAGGGAAUCUUCGGCAAUGGACGAAAGUCUGACCGAGCAACGCCGCGUGAGUGAAGAGGGUUUUCGGAUCGUAAAACUCUGUUGUUAGAGAAGCGGUAUCUAACCAGAAAGCCACGGCUAACUACGUGCCAGCAGCCGCGGUAAUAC